GCCUUCGUCGUGUAACGGUAGCACACUCGGUGUACAUUCGAGAGGUCCAGGUUCGAGUCCCGGCGAGGGCA
This 71-nucleotide transfer RNA is filed under the name Stegodyphus mimosarum. It matches the Rfam family "tRNA". Rfam says of the family: Transfer RNA (tRNA) molecules are approximately 80 nucleotides in length. Their secondary structure includes four short double-helical elements and three loops (D, anti-codon, and T loops). Further hydrogen bonds mediate the characteristic L-shaped molecular structure. tRNAs have two regions of fundamental functional importance: the anti-codon, which is responsible for specific mRNA codon recognition, and the 3' end, to which the tRNAs corresponding amino acid is attached (by aminoacyl-tRNA synthetases). tRNAs cope with the degeneracy of the genetic code in two manners: having more than one tRNA (with a specific anti-codon) for a particular amino acid; and 'wobble' base-pairing, i.e. permitting non-standard base-pairing at the 3rd anti-codon position. Lineage: Eukaryota; Metazoa; Arthropoda; Arachnida; Araneae; Eresidae. The record is from Rfam by way of RNAcentral.